UGCCUUAGUAACGGCGAGUGAAGCGGCAACAGCUCAAAUUUGAAAGCUGGCCCUUUUAGGGUCCGCAUUGUAAUUUGUAGAGGAUGAUUCGGCGAGGGCUCCUGCCUAAGUCCCCUGGAACGGGGCGUCAUAGAGGGUGAGAAUCCCGUAUGCGGUAGGUUGCCUUAGCCAUGUGAAUCUCCUUCGACGAGUCGAGUUGUUUGGGAAUGCAGCUCUAAAUGGGAGGUAAAUUUCUUCUAAAGCUAAAUACCGGCCAGAGACCGAUAGCGCACAAGUAGAGUGAUCGAAAGAUGAAAAGCACUUUGGAAAGAGAGUUAAAAAGUACGUGAAAUUGUUGAAAGGGAAGCGCUUGCAACCAGACUUGUCCGCAGUUGCUCAGCCGGUCUCCUGACCGGCGUACUCUUCUGCGGCCAGGCCAGCAUCAGUUCGGGCGGUCGGAUAAAGGCCUCGGGAAUGUGGCUCCUCUCGGGGAGUGUUAUAGCCCGGGGUGCAAUGCGGCCAGCCUGGACUGAGGAACUCGCUUCGGCAAGGAUGCUGGCGUAAUGGUUGUAAGCGGCCCGUCUUGAAACACGGACCAAGGAGUCUAACAUCUAUGCGAGUGUUCGGGUGUCAAACCCGUACGCGUAAUGAAAGUGAACGGAGGUGGGAACCCGCAAGGGUGCACCAUCGGCCGAUCCUGAUGUCUUCGGAUGGAUUUGAGCAAGAGCAUAGCUGUUGGGACCCGAAAGAUGGUGAACUAUGCCUGAAUAGGGUGAAGCCAGAGGAAACUCUGGUGGAGGCUCGCAGCGGUUCUGACGUGCAAAUCGAUCGUCAAAUUUGGGUAUAGGGGCGAAAG
RNAcentral lists this ribosomal RNA (835 nucleotides) under Lasiodiplodia theobromae. RNAcentral's name for it is "partial large subunit ribosomal RNA". It matches the Rfam family "Eukaryotic large subunit ribosomal RNA", at positions 76 to 929 of the family's 3401-position model. Lineage: Eukaryota; Fungi; Ascomycota; Dothideomycetes; Botryosphaeriales; Botryosphaeriaceae. The record is from RNAcentral.